Pygoscelis adeliae (Adelie penguin) is the source of this 198-nucleotide long non-coding RNA. RefSeq lists it as uncharacterized. Lineage: Eukaryota; Metazoa; Chordata; Aves; Sphenisciformes; Spheniscidae. The record is from RefSeq and is a predicted model, not a curated record. The transcript has 3 exons.
CCGCCACCGUCUCCCUCUCCCAGCCUGUCCACAAGGUCGCUGGAAAAUCCCACCCCCCCGUACACGCCGAAGAUGGGACGCAGGAGCAUCGAGUCGCCCAACCUGGGUUUCGGCGUGGACCCCUUCCUGCCUCAUCUCCUGGAGGACGAGCAGGGCCAGCUCUCCGACCUGGAGCCCGAGCUGGAUUCCCAGAACUGG